GACGAACGCUGGCGGCGUGCUUAACACAUGCAAGUCGAACGGAAAGGCCCCUUUGGGGGUGCUCGAUUGGCGAACGGGUGAGUAACACGUGAGUAACCUGCCCUUCAUUUCGGGAGAACUUCAUUAAACUGGGGGGAAUACCGGAUGGGAAUCCUUGCCUCAUGGUGGGGGGGGGAAGGCUUGUGCGGGUGUGGAGGGACUGGCGGCUGGUCAGUUUGUUUGUGGGGUGGUUGCUUGCCAAGGCUUUGACUGGUAGGCGGCCUGAGAGGGCGAGCGGCCACCAUGGGACUGGGAUACGGGCCCGACCCCCACCGGAGGGAGCAGGGGGGAAUAUUGGACAAUGGGCGGAAGCCCGAUGCAGGAAAGCCGCGGGCGGGAAUACGGGCCUUGGGUUGUAAACCGCUUUCAGCAGGGGAGAAGCCUGUGGUGACGGUAACUGCAGAAGAAGCACCGGCUAACUACGUG
Molecule: ribosomal RNA, 465 nt
Filed under: uncultured bacterium
Lineage: Bacteria
Description: partial 16S ribosomal RNA
Rfam family: Bacterial small subunit ribosomal RNA
Source: RNAcentral